CACGCCGUAAACGAUGAAUACUAGGUGUCGGGGGACAAAGUCCUUCGGUGCCGCCGCUAACGCAAUAAGUAUUCCACCUGGGGAGUACGUUCGCAAGAAUGAAACUCAAAGGAAUUGACG
RNAcentral lists this ribosomal RNA (120 nucleotides) under uncultured bacterium. RNAcentral describes it as "partial 16S ribosomal RNA". It matches the Rfam family "Bacterial small subunit ribosomal RNA", at positions 796 to 915 of the family's 1533-position model. The record is from RNAcentral.